UUUUACCUCUGUGCUCCUCAUUAGCAAAAUGCCUGGUACUUAGCAGGUGCUCAAAACGUGAUUAAAAGUGAAUGAGAAACGACUGUGUAAUUCAACAAGUGUGAGGCAUUUUCCCUCAAGCUACACCCUCUUGUAAAUCAAAUAGAAGGAAACGUGAAAUGAGUACCUCCUUGUUAUUUUCAGAAGAGUUAAUUCUGCAGAUCUCAGUUUGCUAUUGUUUUGGCUGUUCUAAGGCACUGCUCUCGAUCACUGAAUUGUCAGCCCUUCCAUACUGGGUAGCUUAAUUUCUAGACCACUUCAGCAUCCUAUCUCUCACCCCUGGUAACUCGUAAGUAAUGCCUUUUUUGGUGAAUGGACUUUAUUUUUAUACGUAACCUGCUCCAGCUUUCCUUGGUUGUUUCCCAUUGUUCAUUUCUCUCCCAUAACACUGAAAACAGGGUUUUGGUUUUUUUUUUUUUUUUGCCUUUUGGUACACAAAAGCCAGUCCUGAUCGAGACAAGCUCUAUUUUGUUUUUUAAAUACAUUUUAUUGUGUAUAUUUGAGGUUUACAACAUGGUAGUUUGGGAUGCAUAGAAAUAAUAAAAUGGUUACUGUAGGGAAGCAGAUUUACAUAUCUAUCAUUCUCACACAACUACUUUUUGUGACAAAAGCAGCUAAAAUCUACUUAGUUAACAAAAUCCCUAAUACAAUUUUAUUAACCUUAGUCCUCAUGUUAUACAUUAACACUCUACACUUGUUCAUUCUGCAUAUCUGCUAUUUUGUAUCCUUUGACCUAUAUCUCUGUUUCCUCCUCCUGUUCCCUACCAUGGUCGCCAUGUUUUAUUCUCUGUGUUUUUGAGCUUUUUCUUUUAUAUAUAUUCUACAUAUAAGUGAAAUCACUUUUCUUUCUGUGUCUGGCUUAUAUCAUCUAGUAUAAGGUCUUCCAGGUCCAUCCAUGUUGUGACAAAUAGUAGGAUAUCGUUUUUUAAGGCUGAAUAAUAUUCCAUUAUGUAUAUAUACAUGACAUGUUCUUUAUCCAUUCAUCAACAACUAGGUUGUUCCAUAUCUUGGCUAUUGUGAGUAAUGUUGCAGUGAAUAUGGGAGUGCAGAUAUCUUUAUAAGGUGAUAAUUUCAUCUCCUUUGGGUAUAUACCCAGAAGAGGGAUUACUGGGUCAUAUAGUAGUUCUACUUUUAAUUUCUUUAGGAACCUCUAUACUGUUUUCCAUCAUAGCCCAUACCAAUCUACAUCCCCACUGACAGUGUACUAGGGUUCCCUUUUCUCCACACCCUUGCCAACAUUUAUUAUCUAUUGACAAGCUCUGUUUUGAUUAGCAAAAUAAGGUCUGGGUGAGUCAUGCACCACGGGAAUUAGAGCAUCAAUGUCACCCACAUUUCCCUCCUUAUUUCUAUCCUUUUUCCCUCCUGCUUUAAACAAUUCUCUGACACCGUUGUUCAAAAAAAAUCAUGAAAAAACACCCAAAGUCUUCCAUUAUUUAAUUAAAUUGGAGAUCUCAGAAUGGUCUGGAUUAAUUUAACUGCAGUCUAGUUAAUUGCUAGAUGGAUUGGUGAUAGCCAUAGCCUCAUUACAUUUCCUUUGCUUUAGGAUAAGUGCAAGAAGGCUGCUUCCAGCUCCAAAGCACCUAAGAAUGGAGGUAAAGCGAAGGAUUCAGCAAAGACAACAGAGGAAACUUCCAAGCCAAAAGAUGAUUAAAGAAAUACAAGUUAAGGUAUCUGGUAAGUUGGGUGUUUAUUUGUAAAUGAAGACAACUGUAUCUUCUGCCAAUUUAUGUGUUAUAGAUGAGAGAAGUGAAGUCCACCUCUUGAGUAAUUCAUGCUCACUUUACAGUAUUGGCAUGAAAUGCAUACUGCAAGAUCUACAGAGUAAUUGGUCAUUCUCUGAAAGCACUAAAUGGGAUGAGUUUGCUAUUGAAAUGUUUAAAAACCUUAAUCUUAUAAUUAAAAGCUUUUAAAAAUAUUAGGCCAGGCACUUAGAAUGACCAUCUGAGGCUAGUUGAAUCUUUGAAAUCCAAAUGCUCAUUACUGCAGGUUAUUGUGGCAAAGCAAAAUUAGCAUGUUACAACUUAGCGAAAUGUCCUGAAGAUAUUGGCAUUCCCCAGAAUACCAAUACGUGGUGGGGUGGGGAGAAGUACCCUUUAGAGUCUGGUGGAAAUUACAGGGUUUUGGGAACAAGGGCAAAGGAAAAGAUUGGCCAUUUUUAUUUGUCAUUAUUUUGGAAAGUAAAGUACUGUGUUUGAUUCUAAUUUAUAAUUGCUGAAGAAACUGGACAGAUUGAAGGGAUUUCUGAGAUCUUCAGAUCUGGGCCCUUAUCUUAAUCUUCAGAAAGGAGAGGGCUUAAUGUAAGCCUUAAAAGCAUACAAGCACUUACUGACCAAAGCCUAAAAGAAAUCAAAGUAUAGGUUAAAUCGGGUUCAGCUCUCUCACCAUGAUCCAUGUUUAUUUCCUAGGAAAAAGGAGCUAUAUUAGGUAGAACUGCUCUAACAUUUUUCCCAAAAUUAAAAAAAAUUCUAUUAAUCCACUUUCAUGUUUACUUAUAGGAAACUCCUUCUGUCUGUUAUACAAUGCUUUUGCUAAGUGGUAUUUUUACUAUGUCUGUAACAAGAAAAUUACAUAUUAAAUGAUUCACUGCAUUUUUUAUUUGAAAUUUUUAAGGUAUCUGCAUGUAAAAUCUUCAGCUGGUGGAUGGUGAUUUUUGAAGAACAAAAGGCUUUGGCAACAGAAAACAAUUGUUCUGGGUGAUUUCUAGAAUGGUUUUUGUUGAGUCUCUGAACAUCCUAAAUAUUGGUUUGUUAUUCUUUUCCAGAAAGAAAAUGAAUUUGACUGGUUCACCUGUGUACUGAGUAUUGAUAAACUUUGAAUUUUUUUAAUUGCCUUCAAUUGGGAGAGAAAGCUUUAUAUUUGUAAGAAAUAUAUUUGAUAAAGUUUCUUAAAGCAACACCAAAAAAACAAAAGAAAAGCUAAGUGAAUUUUUGCACAUUCUACACACAGUGCCUGUAAAUCUCAUUUGUAUUUUCAGUUUGCGCUUAAUUUUUUUUGUUAGUGUUUAGAAAACAAUGUUUUAAACAUU
Molecule: small RNA, 3064 nt
Filed under: Pan troglodytes (chimpanzee)
Lineage: Eukaryota; Metazoa; Chordata; Mammalia; Primates; Hominidae
Description: retained intron
Source: RNAcentral